RNAcentral lists this ribosomal RNA (500 nucleotides) under uncultured bacterium. RNAcentral describes it as "bacterial SSU rRNA". It matches the Rfam family "Bacterial small subunit ribosomal RNA", at positions 8 to 507 of the family's 1533-position model. The record is from RNAcentral.
AGAGUUUGAUCAUGGCUCAGGAUUAACGCUGGCGGUAUGCCUAACACAUGCAAGUCGAACGGAAUACUAAUUAAGAGAAUCUCACACUAGUGAGAGGUUCUCACGAGUAGUAUUUAGUGGCGGACGGGUGAGUAACACGUUGGAACCUGCCCCGAAGUGGGGAAUAACUGCUCGAAAGAGUAGCUAAUACCCCAUAGUAUCCGGUUUAUCCGGAUUAAAGAUUUAUCGCUUCGGGAGGGGCCUGCGUCUGAUUAGCUAGUUGGUGAGGUAAAAGCUCACCAAGGCGACGAUCAGUAGCUGGUUCGAGAGGAUGACCAGCCACACUGGGACUGAGAUACGGCCCAGACUCCCACGGGAGGCAGCAGUGAGGAAUCUUCCACAAUGGGCGCAAGCCUGAUGGAGCAAUACCGCGUGCAGGAAGACGCUUUUCGGAGUGUAAACUGCUUUUGUCGUCGAAGAUUAUGACUGUAGACGAAGAAUAAGGACCGGCUAACUACGUG